This 406-nucleotide ribosomal RNA is filed under the name uncultured bacterium. RNAcentral describes it as "partial 16S ribosomal RNA". It matches the Rfam family "Bacterial small subunit ribosomal RNA", at positions 30 to 526 of the family's 1533-position model. The record is from RNAcentral.
AUUGAACGCUGGCGGCAGGCCUAACACAUGCAAGUCGAGCGAGUGGCGGACGGGUGAGUAAUGUCUGGGAACCUGCCCGAUAGAGGGGGAUAACUACUGGAAACGGUAGCUAAUACCGCAUACUAUCGGAUGUACCCAUAUGGGAUUAGCUAGUGGGUGGGGUAAAGGCUCACCUAGGCGACGAUCUCUAGCUGGUCUGAGAGGAUGAUCAGCCACACUGGGACUGAGACACGGCCCAGACUCCUACGGGAGGCAGCAGUGGGGAAUAUUGCACAAUGGGCGCAAGCCUGAUGCAGCCAUGCCGCGUGUAUGAAGAAGGCCUUCGGGUUGUAAAGUACUUUCAGCGGGGAGGCGUUACCCGCAGAAGAAGCACCGGCUAACUCCGUGCCAGCAGCCGCGGUAAUUC